Molecule: small nuclear RNA, 252 nt
Filed under: Erinaceus europaeus (western European hedgehog)
Lineage: Eukaryota; Metazoa; Chordata; Mammalia; Eulipotyphla; Erinaceidae
Description: 7SK RNA
Rfam family: 7SK RNA
About the family: 7SK was discovered as an abundant small nuclear RNA in the mid-70s but a possible function has only recently been suggested. Two independent studies have found that 7SK RNA binds the CDK9/cyclin T complex (known as elongation factor P-TEFb). P-TEFb activates transcription by phosphorylating the C-terminal domain of RNA polymerase II.
Source: Rfam by way of RNAcentral
GGAUGUGAGGGCAAUCUGGCUGCGACAUCUGUCACCGGGUUGAUCCAGCUGAUCUGGCUGGCUAGUGGGUGUCCCUUUCCUCCCUCAGGGCUCCAUCGAAGAGGAGGACCUUCCUCAAUAGAGACUGGUCGAGGGUAUAGUAUAUGAGUAGCCACACUCCCCUGCUAGAACCUCCAAACAAGCUCUCUGGGGUUUGUUUGCCAUAGUAGAACUUCCCAAUAAGUAUCUGAAUUAACAUAUCUGUUAAGGUUC